AACCUAGCACACCUGCGGUGUGUACCUGCGGAAGGAUCAUUACAGAGUUCAUGCCCUCACGGGUAGAUCUCCCACCCUUGUGUAUCUCUUGUUUUUGUUGCUUUGGCAGGCCGUUAGCUCGCCUAACCACCGGCUCUCGGGCUGGUGCGCGCCUGCCGGAGGACCUCCCAAACUCUGUUUGUUAGUGUCGUCUGAGUACUAUAACAAUCGUUAAAACUUUCAGCAACGGAUCUCAGAUCG
RNAcentral lists this unclassified non-coding RNA (240 nucleotides) under soil metagenome. RNAcentral's name for it is "partial contains 5.8S ribosomal RNA, internal transcribed spacer 2, and large subunit ribosomal RNA". The record is from RNAcentral.